CCUACGGGAGGCAGCAGUGGGGAAUAUUGCACAAUGGGCGCAAGCCUGAUGCAGCCAUGCCGCGUGUGUGAAGAAGGCCUUCGGGUUGUAAAGCACUUUCAGCGGGGAGGAAGGCGUUAAGGUUAAUAACCUUGGCGAUUGACGUUACCCGCAGAAGAAGCACCGGCUAACUCCGUGCCAGCAGCCGCGGUAAU
Molecule: ribosomal RNA, 194 nt
Filed under: uncultured bacterium
Lineage: Bacteria
Also listed under: 1 other name
Description: partial 16S ribosomal RNA
Rfam family: Bacterial small subunit ribosomal RNA
Source: RNAcentral